This 9123-nucleotide long non-coding RNA is filed under the name Triticum aestivum (bread wheat). RNAcentral describes it as "long non-coding RNA (TAES_LNC020658)". The record is from RNAcentral. Lineage: Eukaryota; Viridiplantae; Streptophyta; Magnoliopsida; Poales; Poaceae.
UUUGGAAGUCUUUUUGUGUCUGACAUAUAUUGUUUUUCAGAUUUUUUUACAGAGUUGUUUUUCCCGUUACAAUGCAUAAGCUCUUUUGCUAGUUAGUUGUAAAGUUACCAAGAACUCCAGAAGUCGAAAAAAGGGAACAGUGCAAAGACGCAGGCUCUCCAGGUAACAAGUACGAUAAUCAAAUAUGCAAUCCUUGCAUAAUGUGCCGCUACCCAUGCCAGACCACGCUAUUUCACAUAAUUCAGAUAUCCCCUCUUGCCAUCAGGCACAUUUACACAUCAAACAUGCAAGUUUACACGGACAACAUCUAUUGCACUCACACAAAUGUAGCAGAGUUACUCCUCAGAAAUUAUGAUCAUAAAGUCAGCCUGCUCAAUGCUCACGCUUAAGUAUAUAUGCUGAUGAUCACGCCUUCUAUCAGGUCAAGUCAAGGAGCGUCGCCAGGGCUAUUUGCGCCUGACCUGGCGUUCCAGAUAUCACGAUGGUACUGUCACUGGACUCUUGUGGACGUUGAGCAUUAAUGGCAAUGUCGGCACCAGAGAUCUGGAGAAAAAACAAAUGUUGGGAACCAAAAUUGGUUAUUCCCAAAAUAUUAUUUUAACAUGUGUAUAGCUCUGUAAAAGUUAUGGACACACACUAGAGAAUCCAGUAAUACUGUAACUUACAAGACAGCAUGAAGAAUCCUUGUAGUAAUGCCAUUAGAAAAAAAUAAAUUUGACAAUAAUAUUAAAGGGCAAAGCCUUUAUCGGUAACUGGCCAACAACUCUAUUUCCAAAUUUUAAGAGAUCUCAACUUUUAUGCUAUACUUCGUUCACAAAUAUAAGAUGUUUUGGAUAUUUUACUAUGGAUUUUAAUAUGGAUUACAUAUGAAGUGAAAUGAGUGAACAAACACAUUAAAACAUAUACAUCCAAUUCACAAAAAAGUAAGAACAUCUUAUAUUUGUGAACAGAGAGAGUACUACUUUACAAAUUUAUUAGUUACCUACUCCAGAUAGAUAUCACCAACCCAAAGUAUCUGUGACGCCCUCGAUUUAACCGUACACUAAUCAUACAUGUAAAUGUGUACGAUCAAGAUCAAGAAAUCACGGGAACAUAUCACAACACAAUUGUAGACACAAUUAAAAUAAUACAUGCUUUAUAUUACAAGUCAGGGGCCUCGAGGGCUCGAAUACAUAAGCUCGAAUACACAAGAGUCAGUGGAAGCAAUAAUAUCUGAGUACAGACAUAAGUUAAACAAAAUUGCCUUAAGAAGGCUAGCACAAACUAGGAUACAUAUCGAAAGAGACGCAGGCCUCCUGCCUGGGAUCAUCCUAAACUACUCCUGGUCAUCGUCAGCGGCCUGCACGUAGUAGUAGGCACCUCCAGUGUAGUAGGAGUCAUCGUCGACGAUGGCGUCUGGCUCUUGGGAUCCAACGUCUGGUCGCAACAACCGGGUAUAGAAAGGGGAAAAGGGGGAGCUAAGCAACCGUGAGUAUUCAUCCAAAGUACUCGCAAGCAAGGAGCUACACUACAUAUGUAUGCAUUGAUAUCAAAUGGAAAAGGGUAGCAUAUGUGGACUGAACUACAGAAUGCCAAAAUAAGAGGGGGAUAGCUAGUCCAAUCGAAGACUGUGCUUCUGGCAGCCUCCAUCUUGAAGCAUAUAGAAGAGAGUAGAUGAUAAGUUCACCAAGUAUCAUCGCAUAACAUAAUCCUACCCGACGAUCCUCUCCUCGUCGCCCUGUGAGGGAGCGAUCACCGGGUUGUAUCUGGCACUUGGAAAGGUGUAUUUUGUCAAGUAUCCAGUUCUAGUUGUCAUAAGGUCAAAGUACAACUCCGGGUCGUCCUUUUACCAAGGGAUACGGCUAUUCGAAUAGAUAAACUUCCCUGCAGGGGUGCACCACAUUUCCCAACACGCUCGAUCCCUUUUGGCCGGACACACUUUUCUGGAUCAUGUCCGGCCUCGGAAGAUAAACACGUCAUAGCCCCACCUAGGCACAACAGAGAGGUCAGCACGUCGGUCUAAAUCCUAUGCGUGCAGGGGUCUGGGCCCAUCGUCAAUUGCACACCUGCACGUUGCGUACGCGGCCGGUGAGCAGACCUAGCAACCUCCAUUACAAAGGAAGUUGCGUUACGCGGGCCAACCCGGCGCGCGCCGCUCAGCCGCUGACAUCACGAAGGCUUCGGCUGAUACCACGACGUCGAGUGCCCAUAACUGUUUCCGCGUAGUUGGUUAGUGCGUAUAUGCCAGUGGCCAGACUCAGAUCAAAUACCAAAAUCUCGGUAAACGUGUUAUCUUGAAGUAACCGUGAACGCCGACCAGGGCCAUGUCCACCUCUCUCAUGGGUGGUCUCAACCUGCCAUGUUGCUCCGCCACAAAGAUCCACAUAGAGGGCCGUCGAGAAAGUAUGUCUUUUCAGCCUCCAAUUCAUGAAUCAACCGCCGGUACUCAACGAGCCUACCUGACUUUAGUCACAACAUGUAGCAUGUGUAAUAUGUAUAGUAUAUACCCGUCAUCAACAGCCGACGUGAUCACGGCCCGAUAGUAUAGCAUGGCAGACUGACAAGAAUGUAGGGUCACUGAUGAUAAACUAGCAUCCUAUACUAAGCAUUUAGGAUUGCAGGUAAAGGUAACAACAGUAGUAGCAAGGACAGGCUAUGCAACAGAAUAGGAUUAACGUAAAGCAGUAACAUGCUACACUACUCUAAUGCAAGCAGUAGAGAGAAGAAUAGACGAUAUCUGGUGAUCAAGGGGAGGCUUGCUUGGUUGCUCUAGUAAGUAGGGGUCGUCAACAACGUAGUCGAUCGGGGCACCAGCAACGGCGUCAGUCUCGUAGUCUACCGGAAAGAAGAGGGGGAAGAAACAAUGAAUACAAUGCAAAUAGAUGCAUAAUGAUGCAUGGCAUGACAACAAACGGUCCUAGGCGUGCCCUAACGCGGUAGGAGGUGAUACCGGCGAAGGGGGAAAACAACCGGGAAAGUAUCCCCGGUGUUUCGCGUUCUCGGAUAGAUGAACCGGAGGGGGAAAGUUGCUUGUUCGCUAUGCUAGGGAUGGCUGGCAGACGAACGGGCUACGUAUUCGAAUUCGUCUCGCCGUUCUGAGCAGCUUUCAUGUACAAAGUUUUUCCAUUCGAGCUACGGUUCAUUUUAUAAUAAUUUUAAAAGAUUUAAAUCAUUUUUAGCAUUUAUUUAAUUAUUUUAAAUCAACAAUAUCCAGAAUAGAGCUUGCUGACAUCACCGUGACGUCAGCAGUCAACGGGGCGUUGACUUAGUCAACUGACGUGUGAGUUCCACAUGUCAUAUAUUGUUAGUUAAUUAACAAUAGUUAGUUAGGUUAAUUAGUUAAUUAGGCUAAUCUAAUCAGGAUUAAUUAAGUUAAUUAAUUCUUUAAUUAAUUAAUUCAAUUAUUAUUUAUUUAAUUAUUUAAUUCCUUUUUAAAAAACGUUCUAAGGGCGUGGGCCCCAUCUGUCAAUGGGCCAAAGGCCAUAGCGGGUUUGGGCGGAUAUGGGGCGGAGCCAGGCGCGGGCAUUUGGCGCCCGAUUGGGGGAACCUGGGCGCUAGCUCGGCGAGGCCAACGGUGCAGCCCUCGGCUCCCACGACGCCGGCCAAGGGACGCGGCGGAGGCCUGCAGGCGGCGCGGUGAGGCCGCAGCGGCAGGCGGAGCAGAGACGGGGCUCGGCGCUAUGCACAACGGGGUGAUGGCCAGAGGCGCGGUGCAGCGGGGGAAGCAGGGCGGUGGCGCGGCGCGCGGUGAGCGAGCAACCCAGGCGAGGCGCGUCGGCAUGGGGUGACGGGGUCGCAGCAUGCGCCUGCAGGUCGGCCAGGGGGUGCGGUCGGCGCGAGGGGCGACGGGCACGGGCGGUGGUAGGCGAGGUCGGAGCGGGACGGCCGUGGGCGAGCUGUUGGCGGUAGCAGUCGCAGCGGAGAGCGGGGACGAAGAGGCGUGGUUGGGCGCGUGGCCUAGACGGGCGGGGGCGCGGUCGAGCGCGGCAACCGCGGUGCGGGGGCACGGCCCGCGGCGGUGCGUGCGUGCGGCGCACAAGCUUGCGGCAAGAGCGAGCGGGGCGAUGGCCAGCAGAGGCCGCGGCACACGGCGUCAGGGGAGGGGAGAGGAGGCGCAGAGCGCGAAUUCGGGGCUGGGUGGUCGGACCGGAGCGAACCGUCGAGGCGAGCACGGCGGGUGCGAGCAGCUACGGCUCGCGGUCAGGACGCGGCCAAGGGUGUGCGCGAAGUGCCGCGAUCGCGGCGACGGAUUGGGGGCGCGUGUGCGUGGAAGACAGAGAGGAGAGGGGAGUUUCGCUCACCCCCGAUGCAGGGGUUCACCGACGAUCCGCCGGGGAGGAGGUCGGGGAGGCGAGCGUCGACGGCAUGCGGCAGGGCGUCAGGGAUCGGCUUGAUCCGCGCGAGGCAGGGGUCCCGAGCUCCAUCGCGUCCACGUAGUCGACGAAGACGACGGAGGCCGUGCUCUCGAAGCAGUCUGAGACGGCCGGGAGGUCGUCGAGCGCAAGGAUGGCGGGGUCGGGGCGCCAUUGCCCCGAUCCAGAACGUGGGGGAAGAAGUGGGGAACGGAGGGGAGGAGUGAGGAAAAUGGGGAUCGAGCGAGGGGACCGACUAGGGUUAGUUCCCUGGUGGGGGCGGCUGGGCCGUUAGCUUUUCUAGAUGGGCCAAGAGCCCAAUAGGUUAGGGUAGGUUAGUUUGGUUUCCUUUGUUUUUUAUUUCUUUCUUUCAUUGUUUUAUAUUUAGAUUGUAUAGUAAAUAUAAUUAGUUGCCUAUGAAACUUAGGACAUAAAUAUUAGACCAUGUAAUGACCUAGCACAAGAAGUUUCAAAUAUAUUUGAAUAGCAUAAGUAUUUGUUUAUUUUUAAAAGGUUAAAUUAAAUGUUGUUUGUUCCUGUUUUGAUUAUCUUAGAGGCAUAUAAACAUUCCCAAAAUGUUGUUUGAUGUUUGCUAAUUUAUUAGUGAAUAUUUACAACCUUUUGAACAUUUUUAAUUCACUGUUUUAUGAAAUUAUAAUUUGAAUUGUUAUUUGAAUUUGAAUUUGAUCUCAGUUGAAACAAGUGAGGUUUAGCAAAAGUUCAAUUAUAAUGACCUAGCAUGAUUAGCUAGGCUUUACUGUAGCUUAAUUAUCCAGGCGUCAUAGCAUCACGCACUUCAAGUGUUCCACGAGUUGAAAUGAAAUGCCAGUCAUUGCCAAAGCAAACCAGUGCAGACAGUCAAGUUUCACGUUUAAACUUCAUGGAUUAGUAGCAGCAAAGCUGCCACUCCGUCCCGGCAGUACUUUGGAUAGGCAUGUACUUCGGCAAGGCACGUUCUCGGCCAUCAUGCUGGUAGCUUGAUGCAUCUGCAAGCACCGCAAUGCUCAGCUUAGCCUAGCUCGCUUGCUUGACACAAUCAAGGCGCAAGUUAGGCAAUGGGCGACUGCAGGCACAAAAGGUUUGGCGGCCUUGCUUCCGGCCAUGGCGGUGCUUACCGCUUAGUUGCGUUGUGAUGUUGUAAGCUUCGGGUGUGGCACUGUCUAGGGCUUGUACAAACUCUUAUUUCUAUCAAUGCAUCGAAAACGCAAGGCUUUUGUGUUUUCUCCAGAGAGAAAAUAUGAAUUUAAACAUGAAACUUGAAAUAUGUUUUCUUAAUGCUUGACUCAUUCAUUUUUAAUUCAGAACAAACGCACAAAACCAAUCAGGAUUUUUGCCAAAAUGAUGAGUUAAAUCUAAUGUAGUGAUGAAACAUAUAAAGUUAGAAUGUUCAGUAGCAAGACCAGUCUGAGAUGGGCCAGGAAAUUUUCCUCAUUUCCAUAGAGAAGGGAUAAAACGCCCUCACAAGCAGCAACCUUGUAUGACAUUCUAGUUACAACAGGAUCCUUGAUUAUCUGGUGACUAAAAGCAGAAGUUACAACAGUGAGAAAUCAAAUAGAAGUAACUAAUUCAUGCACGUUAAUAUACUCCCUCCGUUCCUAAAUAUUUGUCUUUUUAGAGAUUUCAGAAGCUAAAAUUUGUUCACGGCUGCAAAUUCAGAAGCUACUCUAUGAAACUAUUAUCCAGGACAAAUAAGUGGUUUGUUGAUCAGUUCCGAUUGUUAGCAGUGAACAAAUUUUGAGAAGGGCCAGGACAAGUAAAUCUGCUCACGGCUGCAAAUUUAUCACUGUAGUAAGAACUUACUCUUUGAAAAACUUCAACACAAAAUGAUAAAAGUAGUAAAGUUGUUGCAGGGAUACAUAGAUAGCACAUUCAGAAGCUAAAAUUUGUUCACUGCCAUGAGAUAACGGAACACUAAGUAAAUUGUGUUUUUUAUUUUUAAUGAAUUCCACUUUUUACCCCCAGGUUGUACAUCUGUGACAGAGUUUAGACAUCUAAAAUUUCCUGCCGCACUUUGCAACGAAGCUGUUACAUCGUGAAGUUUAACCCGAUUUAGCAAUUUUCCUAAAUUCUGACCGGCCAGUUCCACAUGUCAAGCCAGCAUGGCUGGUGCCAAGUAUUUCCACUUGGAAGCAUAGAGUUAAUCUUGUCAUAUACCAAAGAGAUGCAUGCAUGGGAAAAUGCAGAGGUCAAUUUGUAUUUGACUAAUCCAAGUGCAUGCAUGGAAGCAUGCGAGAAAAGAGCUGCAUACCUACUGAAGUAGAAAGGGGAUGCAAGUUAAUUAGCUAUGCAGCACGUGCAUGUCAGGCAAGAGGGGCAGGCUAGAGUAGGAGACAAGUUGAGUUUGGCAAAGUGCUGGAUGCUGCAUGGGCCGUGAACUAUAGAGGACAGCAGUAAAUUAGUUUGUACGUGAGUAGUGUAGCUAGCUAGACCUGAGCAUGAUGAGCUGUAAGCAUAAGUCGGUUGGAGGUUUAUGUCAGUUUGGAGCAGCCUAUAUAUUCAAAUGUAGUCCCUGUUGGAAAUAAUCAAACUUAUCCAAUGGUGGCCGGUUGAUUGCUUUUCUAGUGAUCUGCUUGUUUGAGUCUAACUAGGUUAGAUUAAUUAGUCCUUGUGUGUUUCCUUGUAUGGUUGUAUACGGUUUGGAAAGUGAAAAAGUUGAGUCUGGCUAGGAGUACGAGUCCAAAUAGUUUAGGUAGCCACGUUCAGGUAUAUCUCUAGCUUAGUCUGUCAUGAGAUUUGUGCCAUUGAAAAUCAAAGAGAUAUAAAGAGAAAAACAAAGGGCACGAUAUGGACCCUUGGGUAAAGUUUUUGUGCAUCUGCGUUUGUGAUAUUUUUUAUGUGAUCGUCUAUGGGUGAAUCUCAACAAUUGGUCUCAGAGCAAGGUCAAGGAUUUGAACCCGUGCAUGCGCAGGGGAGGCGGUCCCAACUAGGGGCCCUGAAGCAGGCCAUAUAGUCGCUGGAUGGUGCAGCGACGAGGAGGAUCGGGCAAUAGCCGUUCGGUGGAGCGACAAGGAGGACGAUGACGGGGAGGCUGUCAUCAGCAAGGCGGUGGAAGGAGAUCGUUGAUGGGAGCGGUGGUGCCGAGGUGUGUUACCUAAAGAUCUUGUCAAGAUCGUCAUCCAGAGUAGUUAGACGAGUCAAGAAGUCAUGUGAGUUUGCAUGUUCAACCCGCGUUGUGUCUGCGGGUCGGUUUUGUAUCACAGUACUAGUCCCCGUGAAGACUCGUUGGCGUUGAAGCGGUGUGCACGGUGUUCCAUGAGUCAUGUCCAUGUCCGCAUGGAGCGUCCUGGUUCCGGGCAGUGUGGAUUCGGUGGGAUUCCAAAGGCAGACAGUGGUGGGCGAAGCCAUCUUAAAGCGAGAGGGUAUGCGACAAGUAGAGGGUGAAUCUACUGCAAGCAAGUGCAAGAGAAGUAUUGAUGUGGAGCAUCCCACAUAUUUCACCAUGUCAAGUGCCCCAUCAUCAAGAGGCACACGCAUCUCCCACAUCAUACAUAUAAAGGUGAAUCUUCUCCUUUACAUGUGUCUACUUAGCUCUCUCGAGGAUGAUACACUAUUUGACACUCCUAUCUUGUGCACGUUUCGGUUUGAGACAAACAUCACACAUGGCAUGGAGGAGAUCAAGCACAAGAGAACGACUACAUCAUCCAAGAGGGAAGGAAGCAUGAAAGUAGAGAAGGAAUCGCGAGCACGAAGGCACGGACCGCAAACAUGGUGCCCAGAGGACAAAGGAGGACCAAAGCAUCCCAAAGGAAGGCUGCCAAGUCAGGACAUUCCGACAGGAUGUCCGACCCAACUUCCUACUUGGCGACCGCUCUUUGGACUCUACCGGAUGUUCUGAUAUCCAUGUCCAACAGGACAUUGGACAUCAGACAUUCUGACCUACGUCUGACUUGACAUCCAACUUUGCGCCAGCCCUCUGGACUCUGUCGGAUAUUGAACCGGACUUGGGUCAGAAUAUCCGACAUGUUAGACUGCCCGAAUUAAGUCGGAACAUCUGACCAUGCCUGCGCGCAUGUGUAUCAGACUGUCUGAAUUACUCCCUCUGUAAAGGAAUAUAAGAUCGCUUAGAUCACUAUACAGUUAUCUAAACGAUCUUACAUUUCUUCACAGAGGGAGCAAGUUGGAACAUCCAACCAUGCCUGCCACGUGUAUCGAGCCUAGCCCAUGUAUCUUCCCUUCCCCACUUACCCCUUGGUGGGUGCAGGGCCGUCUCCAAAAAUUUCGGGGCCCGGGGCGAGAUGACAAAUGGGGUUGUAAAUUUUUAAAAAUUCACAUAAUGAAGGACCAAAAUAAUUGAAGGAUAUACUAACACAACUAUUAAUUCAUAUAAACUUCUCAAGAUAAGAAAAUUGAAAAGGACCAAAUCUUGAAAUUUGAAAGAGUAACUACAUUGAAUAUCUUUGAUAUGUGAGUAACUAUCUUCAAAAGUUGUCCUAUCAAUCCAUUUGGAGUACAAAACAAUUCAUUUACUAAGAAUCUAUCUAAAUUCUAAAGUAUCAUUUAUAAGUGCCAACGCAGUAGUUUAUUAAAUAUGGUUACUUAAUCAAUCAACUCGUAGAAUUACCAAUUGAUUUUUCUAUCUGGGCAAGAGAGGAGCAUACCUGAGAGACGAACGGACGGACAAGGCAGACACAUCAGUUGAACACGGGAUUGGCGUCUAGGCCCUGACGUGUGGUAUGGCGAUCGGUUGCCGGCCAGCGGUUCGUAACCUCGUAUGGAGCAGCCGAGCAGGCGAUCUUGCGACGGGCGUGGCGAGGCAGGCGCAGGCGUCAGGUGAUCGGGGCCAGAACAGGGA